This 211-nucleotide unclassified non-coding RNA is filed under the name Hevea brasiliensis (rubber tree). Lineage: Eukaryota; Viridiplantae; Streptophyta; Magnoliopsida; Malpighiales; Euphorbiaceae. The record is from RNAcentral.
GGAUUUCAGGUAAUUGGUGCAUAACUUGCAGUAAAAGUUUAGGCUAGGUGUGCCAAAGUAUAUAUUUCGAACACAAACCUGGACUAGUUAGAGAUCUACAUUCCAUUGUAUUUAGCUGUUGCACUAUAUCAGUUUUUAAAUGUAAGACAUCUUUUCCAUUGUUUGAUUAAAAAUUUCCUUUGACUUGCAGGCUCUUUUUGUGCUCCUCCUC